GAGUGGUCCAAGCGUUAUCCGGAAUUAUUGGGCGUAAAGGGUAUGUAGGUGGUUUUGUUAGUUGAUUGUCUAACCUCCUUGGCUUAACCAGGAAACAGCAAUCAAAACGGCAAGGCUAGAGUAUGUUAGGGGUGAGCGGAACUAAUAGUGUAGGGGUGAAAUACGUUGAUAUUAUUGGGAACACCAAAAGCGAAGGCAGCUCACUGGGACAUUACUGACACUGAAAUACGAAAGCGUGGGUAGCGAAUGGGAUUAGAUACCCCAGUAGUCCACGCCCUAAACGAUGUUCUCUCGCUAUACUGAGUAUCGACCCUCAGUGUGGCUUAGCUAACGCGGUAAGAGAACCGCCUGGGAAGUACGAUCGCAAGAUUA
RNAcentral lists this ribosomal RNA (372 nucleotides) under uncultured bacterium. Its description in RNAcentral is "bacterial SSU rRNA". It matches the Rfam family "Bacterial small subunit ribosomal RNA", at positions 527 to 896 of the family's 1533-position model. The record is from RNAcentral.